This is a small nucleolar RNA of Alnus glutinosa, 115 nucleotides long. RefSeq annotates it as small nucleolar RNA Z278. The transcript has a single exon. Lineage: Eukaryota; Viridiplantae; Streptophyta; Magnoliopsida; Fagales; Betulaceae. The record is from RefSeq and is a predicted model, not a curated record.
GUUAAUGAUUCAAUCCAACUUGUUUGAGGUGCUGUGGAGCCAAGCCCUUGCUUAGCAGGGGGAACCUACUUGGGGAAGCAGCAUAUCGAAUGAAAUUAAUGGAUUUUCAUUUAAC